Pseudoliparis swirei is the source of this 978-nucleotide long non-coding RNA. RefSeq lists it as uncharacterized. The transcript is spliced from 3 exons. The record is from RefSeq and is a predicted model, not a curated record. Lineage: Eukaryota; Metazoa; Chordata; Actinopteri; Perciformes; Liparidae.
UAAAGUGCGAGCGCAUUGUGAGCACGCCGAGGCUGUUUAAAAGCUAAUGGGGUUUCCUGAAGGAGCCAGCUUGAAGGCAGCAACCAAAGGGUUAAUAUUGUAUUCAUUAUUUAGCUUUACUUUGGCGCACUGGCAGCUCCAACGACCAAGGGAUUUGAAUUACGGUUCGCGAGAUGAAGUUUUUUCUGCUGAUGAUUUUCUCCUUGAUCCAUUGCCCUCUGGCUAAUUGUGAUCACAGCAGCAGUGAGUCAGACAGUAAUGAGGUCAGAAUGAAUCCUCAUCACAGCAGCAGCAGUGAGUCUGACAGUGAUGAGAAUGGAAAUGGCCAUCCGUUUCCUCACUGGCCUUCUUUACCUUUCUGGCCAUUUCCGGGUCUGUGGCCGCAGCCACCACCCCCAACCCCAGCACCAUCCACAACACUAAAACCAACCACCACCCAAGAUCCCCCUCCGACUCCAACGGCUGCUGCUACCACCGAGAGCUCCCGAGGAGACAACAACGUGGCGCUCUGAGAGCAGCAUGAGCAGCCUGGCUUCCUGGGCCAACAGCAGAUGUAUGUUCUGCUCAUAUUGUGUGUGUGUUGUGUUUCAUCGUGUUGGAGUAGCAGCCAUCUUUGAAUCGAGCCUAUUAAUUAAUCCUCAACCAAAAUUACACUACACCUCAUUUGAAAGCCUUGUUCUUAGUCUUUCACAUCCAACCUGGAAAACACUACAGCCAAUUCGAUUUGUGAUUCUGUACCGGCCACCAGGUCCAUAUUCAGAGUUUAUAUCUGAAUUCUCAGAAUUUAUAUCAAGUUUGGUUCUUAAAACCGAUAAAGUUAUUAUUGUUGGAGAUUUUAAUAUCCAUGUGGAUGUUGAUAAUGAUUGCCUUAGUGCUGCAUUCAUCUCCUUGUUGGACUCGAUUGGCUUCUGUCAGAGAGUACAGAAACCCACUCACAGCUUUGGCCACACGCUUGAUCUUGUUCUUACUUAUGGCGUU